CCUACGGGAGGCAGCAGUGAGGAAUAUUGGUCAAUGGCCGAGAGGCUGAACCAGCCAAGUCGCGUGAGGGAAGACGGCCCUACGGGUUGUAAACCUCUUUUGUCGUGGAGCAAAGCGAGUCACGUGUGACUCAUUGAGAGUACCCGAAGAAAAAGCAUCGGCUAACUCCGUGCCAGCAGCCGCGGUAAUACGGAGGAUGCGAGCGUUAUCCGGUUUUAUUGGGUUUAAAGGGUGCGCAGGCGGAGGUGCAAGUCAGCGGUCAAAUUGCGGGGCUCAACCCCGUACUGCCGUUGAAACUGCAGCCCUUGAGUGCGCGAGAAGUAUGCGGAAUGCGUGGUGUAGCGGUGAAAUGCAUAGAUAUCACGCAGAACUCCGAUUGCGAAGGCAGCAUACCGGCGCGCAACUGACGCUCAUGCACGAAAGCGUGGGUAUCGAACAGGAUUAGAUACCCUUGUAGUC
RNAcentral lists this ribosomal RNA (459 nucleotides) under uncultured bacterium. RNAcentral's name for it is "partial 16S ribosomal RNA". It matches the Rfam family "Bacterial small subunit ribosomal RNA", at positions 338 to 795 of the family's 1533-position model. The record is from RNAcentral.